CUUGCUUCUCUUGAGAGCGGCGGACGGGUGAGUAAUGCCUAGGAAUCUGCCUGGUAGUGGGGGAUAACGUCCGGAAACGGACGCUAAUACCGCAUACGUCCUACGGGAGAAAGCAGGGGACCUUCGGGCCUUGCGCUAUCAGAUGAGCCUAGGUCGGAUUAGCUAGUUGGUGGGGUAAUGGCUCACCAAGGCGACGAUCCGUAACUGGUCUGAGAGGAUGAUCAGUCACACUGGAACUGAGACACGGUCCAGACUCCUACGGGAGGCAGCAGUGGGGAAUAUUGGACAAUGGGCGAAAGCCUGAUCCAGCCAUGCCGCGUGUGUGAAGAAGGUCUUCGGAUUGUAAAGCACUUUAAGUUGGGAGGAAGGGCAGUAAAUUAAUACUUUGCUGCUUUGACGUUACCGACAGAAUAAGCACCGGCUAACUCUGUGCCAGCAGCCGCGGUAAUACAGAGGGUGCAAGCGUUAAUCGGAAUUACUGGGCGUAAAGCGCGCGUAGGUGGUUCGUUAAGUUGGAUGUGAAAUCCCCGGGCUCAACCUGGGAACUGCAUUCAAAACUGACGAGCUAGAGUAUGGUAGAGGGUGGUGGAAUUUCCUGUGUAGCGGUGAAAUGCGUAGAUAUAGGAAGGAACACCAGUGGCGAAAGCGACCACCUGGACUGAUACUGACACUGA
Molecule: ribosomal RNA, 674 nt
Filed under: uncultured bacterium
Lineage: Bacteria
Description: bacterial SSU rRNA
Rfam family: Bacterial small subunit ribosomal RNA
Source: RNAcentral